RNAcentral lists this ribosomal RNA (492 nucleotides) under uncultured bacterium. RNAcentral describes it as "partial 16S ribosomal RNA". It matches the Rfam family "Bacterial small subunit ribosomal RNA", at positions 29 to 507 of the family's 1533-position model. The record is from RNAcentral.
AGUGAACGCUGGCGGUAGGCCUAACACAUGCAAGUCGAACGGCAGCACAGUAAGAGCUUGCUCUUACGGGUGGCGAGUGGCGGACGGGUGAGGAAUACAUCGGAAUCUACUUUUUCGUGGGGGAUAACGUAGGGAAACUUACGCUAAUACCGCAUACGACCUACGGGUGAAAGCAGGGGAUCUUCGGACCUUGCGCGAUUGAAUGAGCCGAUGUCGGAUUAGCUAGUUGGCGGGGUAAAGGCCCACCAAGGCGACGAUCCGUAGCUGGUCUGAGAGGAUGAUCAGCCACACUGGAACUGAGACAUGGUCCAGACUCCUACGGGAGGCAGCAGUGGGGAAUAUUGGACAAUGGGCGCAAGCCUGAUCCAGCCGUACCGCGUGGGUGAAGAAGGCCUUCGGGUUGUAAAGCCCUUUUGUUGGGAAAGAAAAGCAGCAGGUUAAUACCCCGCUGUUCUGACGGUACCCAAAGAAUAAGCACCGGCUAACUUCGUG